UACGUAGGGGGCAAGCGUUAUCCGGAUUUACUGGGUGUAAAGGGAGCGUAGGUGGCUCGAUAAGUCAGAAGUGAAAGCCCAAGGCUCAACCUUGGGACUGCUUUUGAAACUAUCGGGCUAGAGUGCAGGAGAGGUAAGUGGAAUUCCUAGUGUAGCGGUGAAAUGCGUAGAUAUUAGGAGGAACACCAGUGGCGAAGGCGACUUACUGGACUGUAACUGACACUGAGGCUCGAAAGCGUGGGGAGCAAAC
RNAcentral lists this ribosomal RNA (250 nucleotides) under uncultured bacterium. Its description in RNAcentral is "partial 16S ribosomal RNA". It matches the Rfam family "Bacterial small subunit ribosomal RNA", at positions 524 to 773 of the family's 1533-position model. The record is from RNAcentral.